Molecule: ribosomal RNA, 406 nt
Filed under: uncultured bacterium
Lineage: Bacteria
Description: partial 16S ribosomal RNA
Rfam family: Bacterial small subunit ribosomal RNA
Source: RNAcentral
AUUGAACGCUGGCGGCAGGCCUAACACAUGCAAGUCGAACGAGUGGCGGACGGGUGAGUAAUGUCUGGGAAACUGCCUGAUGGAGGGGGAUAACUACUGGAAACGGUAGCUAAUACCGCAUACCAUCAGAUGUGCCCAGAUGGGAUUGGCUAGUUGGUGGGGUAACGGCUCACCAAGGCGCCGAUCCCUAGCUGGUCUGAGAGGAUGACCAGCAACACUGGAACUGAGACACGGUCCAGACUCCUACGAGAGGCAGCAGUGGAGAAUAUUGCACAAUAGGCGCAAGCCUGAGGCAGCCAUGCCGCGUGUAUGAAGAAGGCCUUCGGGUUGUAAAGUACUUUCAGCGAGUAGGCGUUACCAGCAGAGGAAGCACCGGCUAACUCCGUGCCAGCAGCCGCGGUAAUAC